RNAcentral lists this ribosomal RNA (208 nucleotides) under uncultured bacterium. RNAcentral describes it as "partial 16S ribosomal RNA". It matches the Rfam family "Bacterial small subunit ribosomal RNA", at positions 568 to 775 of the family's 1533-position model. The record is from RNAcentral.
CGCGUAGGCGGCCUUCUAAGUCGAACGUGAAAUCCCUGGGCUCAACCCAGGAACUGCGUCCGAUACUGGAAGGCUUGAAUCCGGGAGAGGGAUGCGGAAUUCCAGGUGUAGCGGUGAAAUGCGUAGAUAUCUGGAGGAACACCGGUGGCGAAGGCGGCAUCCUGGACCGGUAUUGACGCUGAGGCGCGAAAGCCAGGGGAGCAAACGG